UCCUAUCACCAGGACUUGGCAUUUGC
RNAcentral lists this non-coding RNA (26 nucleotides) under Mus musculus (house mouse). The record is from RNAcentral. RNAcentral also lists the same sequence under 1 other name. Lineage: Eukaryota; Metazoa; Chordata; Mammalia; Rodentia; Muridae.